GGUCUUGCAGCAUAUUUUGAGCAGCAGAGCAGAUCUCUCAGAAGGCUGCAAAUCCAUCCCACAAAGAUGUUUCCAUAUAAGAGGCAAAAGCUCAGGAUUAUUUUGAAGAAAAUUACAAUUUAGAGGUAUCAGAAGAGUAACUGGCUCACUGGAUUCCCUCUGCCUAGACUACCCUUCCCCUUAUUUUCAUAUUGCUAAUCCUCUUACCUCAUUCAAGUCUUUUCUCAAAUGUCCUUUAAAUGUGGUCUACCAUGGCCAUCAUAUUUAAAAUGUAAACCCUUAGCCCAUUUAAGAUGUCCAUGAUUUUCUUCUAUUGUACUCUAUUUUUGCUCCUUACCGUAUCUUAUCCACAAGGAUACUAUGUAGUUUACAUAUUCAACUGUCUAACCUUAGUCCUUCUGAGAUAAAAGAAGCUCCACCAUAGAACAGGGAUUCUUCUAUGUUUGUUCAGUGUAGGAUAAUUAACACGUAGUGUAUAUUCUGUAAAUAUUCACUGGAAAAAUAAAUAAAUGCCUUCUUCUUAAGCCAACAGUCACUCUUCUUUCUAAGCCUCAAGGAAAAGUAUAUCUUAAAUAUCUUAUUUUAUAAAAACAUUCAAAUAGGGAAAAUAUAUUUUUAAAAAACAGUAUGAAAAAACUCAUACCAAAAAUAUAUUUGGCUUACUAAACUUAUGAGUUCAAAUAAAUUCUUUAAAAUGAGAGAGACACUUCAGCAUGAACAAAAAGCAAAAUCCCACAGGAGGCCAGAUCACUUAAAGCAAGGAGUUCCA
This 769-nucleotide long non-coding RNA is filed under the name Homo sapiens (human). Its description in RNAcentral is "HSALNT0192234". The record is from RNAcentral. Lineage: Eukaryota; Metazoa; Chordata; Mammalia; Primates; Hominidae.